Molecule: ribosomal RNA, 492 nt
Filed under: uncultured bacterium
Lineage: Bacteria
Description: partial 16S ribosomal RNA
Rfam family: Bacterial small subunit ribosomal RNA
Source: RNAcentral
AGUGAACGCUGGCGGUAGGCCUAACACAUGCAAGUCGAACGGCAGCACAGUAAGAGCUUGCUCUUACGGGUGGCGAGUGGCGGACGGGUGAGGAAUACAUCGGAAUCUACUUUUUCGUGGGGGAUAACGUAGGGAAACUUACGCUAAUACCGCAUACGCCCUACGGGUGAAAGCAGGGGAUCUUCGGACCUUGCGCGAUUGAAUGAGCCGAUGCCGGAUUAGCUAGUUGGCGGGGUAAAGGCCCACCAAGGCGACGAUCCGUAGCUGGUCUGAGAGGAUGAUCAGCCACACUGGAACUGAGACACGGUCCAGACUCCUACGGGAGGCAGCAGUGGGGAAUAUUGGACAAUGGGCGCAAGCCUGAUCCAGCCAUACCGCGUGGGUGAAGAAGGCCUUCGGGUUGUAAAGCCCUUUUGUUGGGAAAGAAAAGCAGCAGGUUAAUACCCCGCUGUUCUGACGGUACCCAAAGAAUAAGCACCGGCUAACUUCGUG